RNAcentral lists this long non-coding RNA (917 nucleotides) under Homo sapiens (human). RNAcentral's name for it is "HSALNT0308518". Lineage: Eukaryota; Metazoa; Chordata; Mammalia; Primates; Hominidae. The record is from RNAcentral.
UCUUUCCUCCACCAGGUAACCCCAGAUCCCAUGAGGUGGCAGUGUCACCAUUGCCCCAGCCCAGAGUCAUUUCAAGGAGGAGCAGGUCACUUCCUGAUUCCCAAAGCAUCUGCCUGUACCAUUGAAAACUUAUUCCUGCUCAGUGGUCUAAAAAGCGAUGCUGUCCAUUCUCAGAAAUGGAGCAGAAAGGCAAGAGAAAGGAAGCUGAUAUUUUGAAUGUCCACUACCUGGCAAGUACUGGACCAGCCACUUGCAUAUACAUUUUCUCAAUUAUUCCUCACAAAACCUGGAUGAGAUGGGUGCUAGCAUCUCCAUUUUGCUGAUGAAGGAACGGAGCCCACACACUGAGGAAAGGCCAUAUGAGCACACAGGAAGAAGACUGCCAUCUGCAAAUCAGGAAGACAAUCAUCAUCAAGAACUUACCAUGCUGGCACCCCGAACUUGGGCUUCUGUUGUUUAAGCCACCCAGUCUGAUAUUUUCUUAUAGCAGCCCAAGCUGACUAAGACAGGCAGUCAAGAAUUAAAAUCUGCUUGGAGGAGCACCAACAUACCCAUUUUAAAAACCUUAUUAUGUGAAAUGGCUACAGUUAUUUAAACUCAAGAAGAACAUGGAACAAGAAAGAGAAAUAAAGUCAGUGAGAUGAAUGGACUAAAAUAACCUAGCAGUUAAUGGAAUAAAUAGGAAUGAAGCCCCUUUUCCAGUGUUAGGGUCAGCCUGGGAUUUAUCAAGGCUCUAAACAAAAGGAAUUGAUCAUGAGAGGUUAGCAGAGACAUACGGGAAGCACUGCGAGAGUAUUCAGCACUAGUUGGAGAUUUGAAUUCUAACUUUAAAAUUCUGAGACUUUUGAUCUAUUAAUUUAUCCAUUUUCAUUGUUCUUUUGCUUUGACUAUAAAGAAACAAAAUAAGGCACAAUCAA